GCACGAUGGCUGAAUUCAGAUGGAUUAUAAUGUCUUCAUUUGUGAUGCUGCUGUUCAGCUUUAGAGAAGCAGCUGGGAAAUCUUCCUCUGUCACUGUCAGAGUUGGAGAUGAAGCUACUUUGCCUUGUGAAAAUGUGAAACAUGAUCAGAAUAAGUGUGACAAAGUUGCCUGGAAGUUCAGUAAUUUUAACAUUACAGAAUUACGACUUACAUUAAGAAUCACACUGUUUGAAGACGGCAGAUUCACAAAGACGCUGCAACUAAAUCAGACAGACUGAAUGUUACGGAACAAUGUUCUCUGGUUAUAAAGAAUGUCACAGUGGAGGAUGCUGGUUAUUACACCUGCACAAAGAUCAAAUCAGGACAAGUUGAACACGUUGACCUGUCUGUUGUCAGCAUCACUGAACAGAAGAACACUGAUACAGUCAGCUUGUUGUGCUCUGUGACUUGGUGUGGACACACAGUGAAGUUGCUGCAUGAGGGAAUUGAUGUCACAGAGAGAAAGACAUCACAGCGUUUCUGUUCAGCCAGAGUGAUAUUUAUAACAUCUGACUUUAAUCAGAAGUCAAAAAAUGACUUAUUGAAAUGUGAAGUGACAAAUAAAGUCACUGGAGAAGUGCAGGUGUUCCUCUUCAACCCUCCUCAGUCCUCAGUUGAGAAACCAGCAACUACAACACCAUCAACGAGAAAAACACCUGUGAAAAAGCGUGAAACAGAAGAGACAAACAGACCUGCAUCUGAAAACAACAACGAUGGAACAAAGACAGGAGAAGCAGCUGUGGGAGAAUGCAAGAUUGUGCAAGAGCACUUAG
Centropristis striata (black sea bass) is the source of this 812-nucleotide long non-coding RNA. RefSeq lists it as uncharacterized. Lineage: Eukaryota; Metazoa; Chordata; Actinopteri; Perciformes; Serranidae. The record is from RefSeq and is a predicted model, not a curated record. The transcript is spliced from 5 exons.